RNAcentral lists this ribosomal RNA (619 nucleotides) under uncultured bacterium. RNAcentral describes it as "bacterial SSU rRNA". The stretch from base 1 to 539 matches the Rfam family "Bacterial small subunit ribosomal RNA", at positions 338 to 873 of the family's 1533-position model. The record is from RNAcentral.
CCUACGGGAGGCAGCAGUAAGGAAUAUUGGUCAAUGGACGAAAGUCUGAACCAGCCAUGCCGCGUGAAGGAUGAAGGCCCUCUGGGUUGUAAACUUCUUUUACAGGGGACGAAAAAAAGGGGAAUUCUUUUCUCACUUGACGGUACCCUGGGAAUAAGCACCGGCUAACUCCGUGCCAGCAGCCGCGGUAAUACGGAGGGUGCAAGCGUUAUCCGGAUUCACUGGGUUUAAAGGGUGCGUAGGUGGGUCUGUAAGUCAGCGGUGAAAUCUCCGGGCUUAACCCGGGAAACUGCCCAUUGAUACUAUAGAUCUUGAAUUGUCUGGAGGUAAGCGGAAUAUGUCAUGUAGCGGUGAAAUGCUUAGAUAUGACAUAGAACACCAAUUGCGAAGGCAGCUUACUACGGAUUGAUUGACACUGAGGCACGAAAGCGUGGGGAUCAAACAGGAUUAGAUACCCUGGUAGUACCACGACCUAACGAUAGAUACUACGACAUUAGUGUAUAUACUAUAGUGUNUGAGAGAAGANAUAAGUAUCCACCGUGGAGACGACCGCGAGUAAGUAACGUACGAAGAAGUAGUUAGGCGUGNGAGNGCCGACGGACGACGACGAGGGAGGAGG